RNAcentral lists this ribosomal RNA (253 nucleotides) under uncultured bacterium. RNAcentral's name for it is "partial 16S ribosomal RNA". It matches the Rfam family "Bacterial small subunit ribosomal RNA", at positions 524 to 776 of the family's 1533-position model. The record is from RNAcentral.
UACAAAGGGGGCUAGCGUUGUUCGGAAUCACUGGGCGUAAAGGGCGCGUAGGCGGCGUUUUAAGUCGGGGGUGAAAGCCUGUGGCUCAACCACAGAAUGGCCUUCGAUACUGGGACGCUUGAGUAUGGUAGAGGUUGGUGGAACUGCGAGUGUAGAGGUGAAAUUCGUAGAUAUUCGCAAGAACACCGGUGGCGAAGGCGGCCAACUGGACCAUUACUGACGCUGAGGCGCGAAAGCGUGGGGAGCAAACAGG